This 497-nucleotide ribosomal RNA is filed under the name uncultured bacterium. RNAcentral describes it as "partial 16S ribosomal RNA". It matches the Rfam family "Bacterial small subunit ribosomal RNA", at positions 28 to 507 of the family's 1533-position model. The record is from RNAcentral.
GAUGAACGCUGGCGGCGUGCCUAAUACAUGCAAGUCGAGCGAACAGACGAGGAGCUCGCUCCUCUGACGUUAGCGGCGGACGGGUGAGUAACACGUGGAUAACCUACCUAUUAGACUGGGAUAACUUCGGGAAACCGGAGCCAAUACCGGAUAAUAUAUUGAACCGCAUGGUUCAAUAGUGAAAGACGGCUUUGCCGUCACUUAUAGAUGGAUCCGCGCCGCAUUAGCUAGUUGGUAAGGUAACGGCUUACCAAGGCAACGAUGCGUAGCCGACCUGAGAGGGUGAUCGGCCACACUGGAACUGAGACACGGUCCAGACUCCUACGGGAGGCAGCAGUAGGGAAUAUUGCGCAAAGGGCGAAAGCCUGACGGAGCCACGCCGCGUGAGUGAUGAAGGCCUUCGGAUCGUAAAACUCUGUUAUUAGGGAAGAACAGAUGUGUAAGUAACUAUGCACGUCUUGACGGUACCUAAUCAGAAAGCCACGGCUAACUACGUG